CUGGACGCAACUGCAAUAACUGUAGUAGCACAACUUGGGGAGUCAAUUGUUCAAGAUCUUGUUCUUGUUCUACUGGAGCAUUAAGAUGUGAUAAUGUUAGAGGAUGUAUUUGUAGACCUGGAUAUACAGGAGUUUUCUGUGAUGUGGAUGUGAACCAGUGUACCAAUGGGGAAUUACAGUGUAAUGACAGACAGGAUUGUGUGAGUCGUAUAGGUCCUGAUUCAUGUGUUUGCAAAUCUGGUUACAGACUUAAUGGCACAUUGUGUGAAGAUGUCAAUGAAUGUUUGGAUCCAAGGUUAAACACUUGUCAGCAGACAUGUCAGAACUCUGUUGGUAGCUACAGCUGUGGCUGUUAUAAAGGAUUUGCUUAUAAUGCAUCAACUAACACAUGUGAUGAUAUCAAUGAAUGUGCUCGACAAAUAGACAGAUGUACAAGUGUAUGUAUCAACACAUUGGGCAACUACAGGUGUUCAUGCACACCUGGCUAUGUCCUCAACAGAGAUGGAUAUACAUGUGAUGUGACCAGUGUGUGCACCAACAGUUCACUUUGUCAGUACCAGUGUAUUAAUGUCAAUGGCAAUGAAACUUGUUUCUGUCCUAAAGGACAAGCUUUAAACAGUGAUUUGAGAACCUGUAGAGGUUUUUUUUUUUUUUAAAUAUUUUCUGCAAAAUGAUUGAGGCUUAGGUUUAAAUAAUGUUUUACUAUUUUUGUUUCUAAUAUAUUUCUUUUUUCAUUUCAUAUUUAGUGAUGUCUUUAUAUAGAAAUUGUAUUAUUUGUAUCAGUUGUAGACUUGUGCAGCUCUAGUUCCUGUAGUGAUCUGUGCAGUGAAACACCUGACAAUACAAGUGUUAUAUGUUCCUGCCCUCCUGGUAAAUCUUUGGCUGCCAAUGGAAUUAUUUGCCAGUCUUGCAGUGACAACUUCUAUGGUAAAGACUGUAGCCAACAGUGUAACUGUAACAUCUUUCAUUCAAAACAAACAAACAAACUUGUGACAAAACAAAUGGAACUUGUCUCUGUAACAAGGGAUGGACUGGUCCAACAUGUGAUGAUGAUGUAGAUGAGUGUACAAAUACCAGUAGCUGCAAUAGUCUGAAGAAUGAAAAGUGUGUUAACACACCAGGAAGUUAUUCAUGUUCAUGCCAAACUGGGUAUUACAGACCAAUUGCAACACAAGACUGCACAGGUCUGAUAUUCUGAAAUAAAUUUCCGUAUCUCCACCUUAAAUUUUACUAGUGGAGUUUUUGUAGCUGCCAGAGUGGAUCUAGGUGGAUGUGAUGCCUUUAAAGAUCAAGGCAUUAUUUAUAUAUACUUCAAAGUGGCAUGUAUGAACUUAAGGAAUGAUUUUGGGUUCAAGUGCACUUGGAGCUCUGGAUGGAGUUAUAUUUAUUCAAUGCAACUAUUCCCACCUCUCCAGUAUCUGGCUUAGCAGCUAUUGGCACAGACAGCUAUGGCUUGGCUCAUUUUCAUAAUCUUGUAUUAGAUUCAGUGACAAGUGGCUUGAAAAUUAUGCAAUGCUUGUAAAAUAGUAACAUAAUUAGUAUAGCUUAAUUUAUUUCUAUCAAAGUCUCACUUUUAAAUCUUUGUACAGUCACUGCCAAGCUCUACAAUUUUUUUAUGGAAAUUGAUUAGGUUUUAUAAAAUUCUAAAUAUUGACUGGUUAAAAUUUUGAAUACUUUUUUACAGCCCAACACAAUUAAAUAGCAAUUGAGAUCUCACCUACAUCUGUUUGUAAAAUGUUUUACAUGUUUCGGAUUUUCCUUCAGAGUUGAAGAUAGUUUACUUCCUAGUCCAAACCUCCCGCAGGACGACGGGGGAUGGGAGCGGGCAGGGUUUGAACCCUCGACCGUCGAUAAAUCCGAACGACAGUCCAGCACGCAAACCUCACGACCAGGCAGCCAUCCUAACACCUAACUUAACUUAGGCCUGUAAGAAUUAAAGCUAACAUGAAUGAAAAUCUGGGAGAGAAGUAAUGUGACACAUGAAAAUUGUAUGUUGAUUUUUUUAUGAUGGUUUUGUCAAUACUUUAAAAAUAUUUAACAAUUUAUUCUUAUGAAAUCUAAUACAACUAGGUUUGGCUGUAGUUAGUUUUGUUAAAAGGUAUUAAGAACAUUCCAUUCUGUAUAUAUUAAACGUUUUUCUAAUGUAAUUGCAUUCAGUGAUUAUCAAUAUUUAAACAUAUAUACUAGUGUUUUGUAAUCAGUGAUUUUCAUUUUCUGGUAUCAGUUUGUUCCCAUUUAGAUUGCAAUCUUUCCAAAUGUGAAAACAAGGUGUCUGCAUAAUCUUUGAGGCCAUUUUUAAAAUCACUUAAAUUUAUUUAUUUGUUUCUAUUUAAUAAUUUGAUUGCCGGGGAACAAAAGAUUAUUUGUGUUGUUUGUCUUUACUAUUGGUGUCUUGUAUCUCUUUUGUGAUGGUAAAGUCACAAAAUGUAGGAAACAUCACUGUGUUUGGUCCAGUGUUCCUAUAUGCAAGUCUAUUGUAUUUUCUUUAUUAUUUUACAAUUGUAAAAAAAAUUAAUAAAAUUGUUGCACUGUUGAUGUUUUCAAAUUAACAUUUUUAUUUAUUUAUGCUUACAUAUCUGUUGUGUUUUAGUUAGUUCAUAAAUAUAGAUUCUUAAAUUAAAUUGUUUCUUUCCGCACUUAUAAACUAUGAUCAUCUGUAAGCCUAUUUUUACUUUUUUUUUAACUUUAAUGUUCUACUUGGAUAUGUCACAGAAAUCAUUACAUUUCUUUUUUUUGAAACCAC
This is an RNA transcript of Biomphalaria glabrata, 2743 nucleotides long. It is a transcript of the gene named THO complex subunit 2-like, with no coding region annotated. The transcript is spliced from 9 exons. Lineage: Eukaryota; Metazoa; Mollusca; Gastropoda; Planorbidae. The record is from RefSeq and is a predicted model, not a curated record.